GACGAACGCUGGCGGCGUGCUUAACACAUGCAAGUCGAACGGAAAGGCCCUGCUCUUGUGGGGUGCUCGUGUGGCGAACGGGUGAGUAACACGUGAGUAACCUGCCCUUGACUUUGGGAUAAAUUCAGGAAACUGGGGCUAAUACCGGAUAGUAGCUCCUGCUGCAAGGUGGGGGUUGGAAAGUUUCGGCGGUUGGAUCGACUCGCGGCUUAUCAGCUUGAUUGUGGAGUAGUGGCUUACUAAGGCUUUGUCGGGUAGCCGGCACGAGAGGGUCACAGGCCACAAUAGGCCUGAGAGACGGCCCAGACUGCAACGUGAGGCAGCAGUAGAGAAUCUUGCGCAGUGAGCGAACGCCUGAUGCAGAAACGCCGCGUGCGGGAGAACGGCCUUCUGGUUGUAAACGGCUUUCAGCGGAGACAAAGCGUGAGUGACGGUAAUGGAUAAAGUAGCCCCGGCUAACUACGUG
RNAcentral lists this ribosomal RNA (466 nucleotides) under uncultured bacterium. Its description in RNAcentral is "partial 16S ribosomal RNA". It matches the Rfam family "Bacterial small subunit ribosomal RNA", at positions 28 to 507 of the family's 1533-position model. The record is from RNAcentral.